CGCGCAGGCGGCCUUUUAAGUUGGAUGUGAAAGCCUAUGGCUCAACCAUAGAACUGCAUCCAAAACUAUUAGGCUAGAGUGUGGGAGAGGAAGAUGGAAUUAGUUGUGUAGGGGUAAAAUCCGUAGAGAUAACUAGGAAUACCAAAAGCGAAGGCAAUCUUCUGGAACAUUACUGACGCUGAGGCGCGAAAGCGUGGGGAGCAAACAGGAUUAGAUACCCUGGUAGUCC
RNAcentral lists this ribosomal RNA (229 nucleotides) under uncultured bacterium. RNAcentral describes it as "partial 16S ribosomal RNA". It matches the Rfam family "Bacterial small subunit ribosomal RNA", at positions 568 to 796 of the family's 1533-position model. The record is from RNAcentral.